UAUAAGUGCAACCAUAAGUUUUCGCGUUCAACUUUGAUCGUUCGUCUUAUUUGAAACUUUUUUAUAAUUAGUAUUUUCGUUGUUAUGAGAUGAUAAAACAUGAAUAGUACUUUACUCGUGACUUACUCGUGACUUAUGUUUUUAAUUUUUUUAAAAAAAUUUCAAAUAAGACGGACGGUCAAAGUUGGAUUUAUAAUGUGACGGAGGUAGUAGCU
MicroRNA precursor from Oryza rufipogon (brownbeard rice), 215 nucleotides. It matches the Rfam family "MIR812 microRNA precursor family". The record is from Rfam. NCBI's taxonomy places the organism in Eukaryota, Viridiplantae, Streptophyta, Magnoliopsida, Poales, Poaceae.